CAUGCAAGUCGUACGAGAGUUUUUAACUCUAGUGGCGGACGGGUGAGUAACACGUGAGAAUUUACCUUUAGGAGGGGGAUAACAAUCGGAAACGAAUGCUAAUACCCCAUAUGCUUUCGAGUGAAAUGGAUUUAUAUUUAUCCGCCUAGAGAGAAGCUCGCGGCUGAUUAGCUUGUUGGUAAGGUAAGAGCUUACCAAGGCGACGAUCAGUAUCUGGUUUGAGAGGACGAUCAGACACACUGGAACUGAGACACGGUCCAGACUCCUACGGGAGGCAGCAGUGGGGAAUUUUCCGCAAUGGGCGAAAGCCUGACGGAGCAAUACCGCGUGAGGGAAGACUGCCUAUGGGUUGUAAACCUCUUUUUUCAGGGAGGAAUAAAAUGACGUGUACCUGAAGAAUAAGCAUCGGCUAACUCCGUGCCAGCAGCCGCGGUAAGACGGAGGAUGCAAGUGUUAUCCGGAAUCACUGGGCGUAAAGCGUCUGUAGGUGGUUUGAUAAGUCAACUGUUAAAUCUUGAGGCUCAACUUCAAAAUCGCAGUCGAAACUAUUAGACUAGAGUAUAGUAGAGGUAAAGGGAAUUUCCAGUGGAGCGGUGAAAUGCGUAGAUAUUGGAAAGAACACCGAUGGCGAAAGCACUUUACUGGGCUAUUACUAACACUCAGAAACGAAAGCUAGGGUAGCAAAUGGGAUUAGAUACCCCAGUAGUCCUAGCCGUAAACUAUGGAUACUAGAUGUUGAACAGAUCGACCUGUGCAGUAUCAAAGCUAACGCGUUAAGUAUCCCGCCUGGGAAGUAUGCACGCAAGUGUGAAACUCAAAGGAAUUGACGGGGGCCCGCACAAGCGG
RNAcentral lists this ribosomal RNA (846 nucleotides) under uncultured bacterium. Its description in RNAcentral is "bacterial SSU rRNA". It matches the Rfam family "Bacterial small subunit ribosomal RNA", at positions 54 to 932 of the family's 1533-position model. The record is from RNAcentral.